RNAcentral lists this ribosomal RNA (274 nucleotides) under uncultured bacterium. RNAcentral's name for it is "partial 16S ribosomal RNA". It matches the Rfam family "Bacterial small subunit ribosomal RNA", at positions 523 to 796 of the family's 1533-position model. The record is from RNAcentral.
AUACGGAGGGUGCAAGCGUUAAUCGGAAUUACUGGGCGUAAAGCGUACGUAGGCGGUUAUUUAAGUCAGAUGUGAAAGCCCCGGGCUUAACUUGGGAACUGCAUUUGAAACUGGGUAACUAGAGUUUAGUAGAGGGGAGUGGAAUUUCAGGUGUAGCGGUGAAAUGCGUAGAGAUCUGAAGGAACACCAGUGGCGAAGGCGAAUCCCUGGACUAAAACUGACGAUGAGGUACGAAAGCGUGGGUAGCAAACAGGAUUAGAAACCCUAGUAGUCC